RNAcentral lists this transfer RNA (73 nucleotides) under Camelus dromedarius (Arabian camel). It matches the Rfam family "tRNA". From Rfam's summary of the family: Transfer RNA (tRNA) molecules are approximately 80 nucleotides in length. Their secondary structure includes four short double-helical elements and three loops (D, anti-codon, and T loops). RNAcentral also lists the same sequence under 1 other name. The record is from Rfam by way of RNAcentral. Lineage: Eukaryota; Metazoa; Chordata; Mammalia; Artiodactyla; Camelidae.
GAGGGUAUAGCUCAAAUGGUAGAGCAUAUGCUUGACAUGCACAAGGUCCUGGGUUCAAUAUCCAGUACUUCCU